AGCGUCUCCCAUCCGCUACCUGAGCCGAGACUGUUCCAGGUAUGUCGUCUCCCGAGUUAUUCUCCGUCGUCGUCGACGAAGAGGCUCCGCACCACCACUUCCAUGACGCCUGCUUUCUCUGCAAGAAGCCCAUAGCCGGCAACGAAGACAUCUUCAUGUACAGGGGUGGCACGCCGUUCUGCAGCAGGGAGUGCCGGCGGGAGCAAAUGGAUAUGGACGAAGCUCUGGAGAAGGAUCGCGUGGCUUCUUAUAGUGCUUCUCCUUCUGCGUCGUCCACGCAGCAGGCCUUCUCCGCGAAGCGUAAGCCGAGCUUGAUCAUGGCUUCCAGCUGUGCGAGGAGAACCGCUUCGGGACCGACGCAGCGGUCGUUGCUAUCAGCUGAUGGCCAAACACCUCCGUGCUUCUCGAACUAGAUUUCGAGUGUGUGUGGGAGAUCAUGUAGAAAAUUUCAGGGUUUCUUGAUAUAGGAGUGAGAGUUACGCUUCUGAUAUCGUUUCUUUUUUUCGAUCGAAAGAAGAGGAGAUUAAUUAGCAUCUCACAGUGUAAUAAUUCUGUUUUCAACUGGUUUCUGUAAGUAUAAAAUAUGUAAUAUAUUAUAUGUAA
Long non-coding RNA from Musa acuminata AAA Group (dessert banana), 603 nucleotides. RefSeq lists it as uncharacterized. The record is from RefSeq and is a predicted model, not a curated record. NCBI's taxonomy places the organism in Eukaryota, Viridiplantae, Streptophyta, Magnoliopsida, Zingiberales, Musaceae. The transcript has 2 exons.